AUGACGAUCGAUUUGUCCACCAUGCCCGGGAGCUCCUCCUCCCGUCUCCUGGACGCCGCCGCGGGGAGGAAGGACAUGAACUUCUUCAGAAACCGCUACGUGCUUGGGCUCACCGGCGUCGCCGGAAUCGGCGGCUUCCUCUUUGGAUACGACACAGGUGUCAUAUCUGGAGCCCUUCUGUAUAUUCGGGACGAAUUUCCAGCUGUCAAAGACAAUCUAUUCUUGCAGGAGACAAUUGUUAGCAUGGCAUUACUUGGCGCCAUUCUUGGAGCAGCUGGGGGUGGCUGGAUAAAUGAUGCCUACGGUCGUAAGAAGUCCACUCUUCUUGCUGACCUGAUGUUCGCACUUGGUUCACUGGUUAUGUGCGCUGCUGGCGGUCCUUAUGUUCUGAUUCUUGGAAGGCUCUUUGUUGGAUUGGGUGUGGGAAUAGCAUCAGUCACUGCCCCCGUUUACAUCGCUGAAGCUGCUCCUUCAGAAAUCAGGGGAGGUUUGGUGUCAACUAAUGUCCUCAUGAUUACUGGCGGCCAAUUCUUCUCCUACUUGGUCAAUCUUGGCUUUACUGAGGUUCCUGGAACAUGGCGGUGGAUGCUCGGAGUUGCUGCCGUGCCAGCAAUCAUACAGUUUGUGCUGAUGCUUUUUCUGCCAGAAUCUCCCCGCUGGCUUUACCGGAAGGAUGAGAAAGCCAAAGCUAUUGCUGUGCUGGAGCAGAUAUAUGACUCUGGUCGUCUGGAGGAAGAGGUCGAGCUGCUUGCGUCGGCUUCCAUGCAUGAAUUCCAGUCUAACUGUACUGGGAGCUAUUUGGACAUAUUCAGGUUGAAGGAAUUAAGGCUAGCUUUUUUUGCUGGAGCUGGCCUUCAGGCCUUCCAGCAAUUUACUGGCAUCAACACCGUCAUGUACUACAGCCCCACGAUCGUCCAGAUGGCUGGGUUCACUUCCAACAGGCUGGCCCUGCUGCUUUCCCUCAUCGUCGCCGCCAUGAACGCCAGCGGAACCAUCGUCGGGAUCUACCUCAUCGACCGUUGUGGCCGCCGCCGCCUGGCCCUCACAAGCCUAGCCGGCGUCGUGCUUUCCCUCGUCAUCCUCGCCACGGCCUUCAUACUGCAGUCGUCGUCCAGCCUCUGCGGGAGCCUGUUCAGCGGUUCCUGCCAAGGCGUGCUGGGGUGGUUCGCGGUCGGAGGGCUCGCUCUGUACAUCGCCUUCUUCUCUCCGGGCAUGGGGCCGGUGCCAUGGGCCGUGAACUCAGAGAUCUACCCCGAGGCCUACCGCGGCAUGUGCGGCGGCAUGUCGGCCACCGUCAACUGGAUCUCCAACCUGAUCGUGGCACAGACGUUCCUGUCGAUCGUGGGGUGGGUCGGCACCGGCCCCACGUUCCUGAUCAUCGCCGGGAUCGCCGUGAUGGCCUUCAUCUUCGUGGCCCUGUACGUGCCGGAGACCAAGGGCCUGAGCUUCGAGGAGGUCGAUCUGCUGUGGAAGGAGAGGGCCUGGGGAGGCCAGGGCAGCCACGAGAGCCUCCUGGGUUCUGCGCCGUAA
This 1530-nucleotide ribosomal RNA is filed under the name Triticum aestivum (bread wheat). Its description in RNAcentral is "partial small subunit ribosomal RNA". The record is from RNAcentral. Lineage: Eukaryota; Viridiplantae; Streptophyta; Magnoliopsida; Poales; Poaceae.